RNAcentral lists this long non-coding RNA (526 nucleotides) under Chrysolophus pictus (golden pheasant). Its description in RNAcentral is "lncRNA (ENSCPIG00010006788.1)". The record is from RNAcentral. Lineage: Eukaryota; Metazoa; Chordata; Aves; Galliformes; Phasianidae.
UGCUACUCCUGGUAAUUUACCUGAUUACAUGGAAAGAGCUGUAGAUCUUUUUAUAAUUGCUGUUUUACUUAAAACAUUGAUUCUUUAGCUCCUGUCUAUUUUCAGGUCAUCACACCUCACUGGAGGCUUCCCUGCUUUAAUGAGCAACUCAGAAACCACAGAGACUGGAGGAUGGAAGUCGUUGGCCGUUGUCGUGUUUGAAAACAGCUCCAUAGCAUUCAUAAGAGGAUUCUUGGCACCUGCCUAGUUAAACUGGAUGUCCAAUGUUAUCUCUCCAGGCAGAAUUUUAUAAAUCUUUGGGCUGUUGCUGCUGCUCCUCUGACAUGGCCCAUCAUCAGCAUACCAGCUCUACUGGCAACUACACAGCCUGGAAAUAAAAGCUGGCAGGCUGGAUGCAGCGCUGAUGUUGAUGGGGAGGUGUUUGGCUGCACCACCACUGCACCAGAGUCUGAAUAAGAGGGAGGAAUCAGGUUUCCACUCACACAUAUGAAAUCACCUUUAAAAUACCCUGGCCCAGCUCUUCUUG